CCUACGGGAGGCAGCAGUAGGGAAUCUUCCACAAUGGGCGAAAGCCUGAUGGAGCAACGCCGCGUGGGUGAAGAAGGUCUUCGGAUUGUAAAACCCUGUUGUUAGAGAGGAAAGUGCGAGAGUGUAACUGUUCACGCUUCGACGGUACCUAACCAGAAAGCCACGGCUAACUACGUGCCAGCAGCCGCGGUAAUACGUAGGGGGCAAGCGUUAUCCGGAUUUAUUGGGCGUAAAGGGAACGCAGGCGGUCUUAUAAGUCUGAUGUGAAAGCCUUAGGCUUAACCGGAGUAGUGCAUUGGAAACUGGGAGACUUGAGUGUAGAAGAGGAGGGUGGAA
RNAcentral lists this ribosomal RNA (336 nucleotides) under uncultured bacterium. Its description in RNAcentral is "partial 16S ribosomal RNA". It matches the Rfam family "Bacterial small subunit ribosomal RNA", at positions 338 to 666 of the family's 1533-position model. The record is from RNAcentral.